This 301-nucleotide ribosomal RNA is filed under the name uncultured bacterium. RNAcentral's name for it is "partial 16S ribosomal RNA". It matches the Rfam family "Bacterial small subunit ribosomal RNA", at positions 509 to 807 of the family's 1533-position model. The record is from RNAcentral.
CAGUAGCCGCGGUAAUACGUAGGGUGCAAGCGUUGUUCGGAAUUACUGGGCGUAAAGUGCGCGUAGGCGGUUACUCAAGUCAGAGGUGAAAGCCCGGGGCUCAACCCCGGAACUGCCUUUGAAACUAGGUGACUAGAAUCUUGGAGAGGUCAGUGGAAUUCCGAGUGUAGAGGUGAAAUUCGUAGAUAUUCGGAAGAACACCAGUGGCGAAGGCGACUGACUGGACAAGUAUUGACGCUGAGGUGCGAAAGCGUGGGGAGCAAACAGGAUUAGAUACCCGAGUAGUCCCUGUCUCUUAUAC